Long non-coding RNA from Capsicum annuum, 2590 nucleotides. RefSeq lists it as uncharacterized. NCBI's taxonomy places the organism in Eukaryota, Viridiplantae, Streptophyta, Magnoliopsida, Solanales, Solanaceae. The record is from RefSeq and is a predicted model, not a curated record. The transcript is spliced from 9 exons.
UUGACUAACAUUGCUUGUAUCCAUGUGUAAAGAGUUGAAAUCUCCUCCAUCUCACCUUUUGCUCAGACGUUUCAAGAGGAAACAAAUUCUCUGAAUGGAAGCGGCUAAGUUGAGUAUGGGGAUAUCUAUCCUCUUCUUUUUCAAGCUUAAAUAGUAGGAUUUUAUACUUGCGUCUUCCUAAUUUGGUUUGAUUAACUCAUGGAUUUAUUAGAGAGAAAGAACUGUACAAAAAGAAAAGGACAAGGAAAAUAAAAGAAGGGUUAUGAAGCAUAGGAGAGAGCGAAGUAGAAAUCCAAAUUCCAAAUGAGUAAUCGCUGGUAUCAAGUUGUUAGAAAUUGAUUCACUUCUUCUUAAACUUGCCCCUAUCUGUCUCUUCUCAAAUCUCAUUUUUAUGACCCUAAUUUUCUUGAAAUUGAUCCCUUUUUGAGGUGAAUUGCCAUUUAAAUAAUUUGGAAGAUUCUAAAACCCCUUUAGGUACGUUUUAUUUUAUUGCUUAAAUUCAUUUGUGCUUUUCUGUUUCUUUUCAUUUUUUAUUGCCAUGCUUAUUCAUUUUUGUUUUCACUUCUUUUAUUGUGCAUUUUCUAAUUAUUGUAAUAUUUUAUACUUGCAUGUUCCUAAUUUCUUUUCUGGCCAUUAUUUGUGUUAUUUACUAAUAUAUGCAUUUGGAUUGCUGCUUAAUUGUCUGAUAAGAAGGGGGACUAAAAAGUAAAAGGGGCAGCAGAGAGAUGCAAAUUAUUUUGUAAUGAUCUCACAUAUUGUUCAUUGGUUCGGCUGUUCCUUAAAGCACUCUCGACUCUGAUGUUAAAUCUUUAAUCCAUGCUCUUUUGUAUCUGUCCAAGAAGACUACAAGUCCCCAGCAAUUGUCAAUGUCUUUCAUCAGCGUUUUUUGUCUGUCAUUGAUCGCUGUCGUUCACUGCCUAGCAUAGAAUUGACAUCAAGAUUUUUGAAAUUAGUUGUUGCACCAAUAACACAGAGCUUUUUGAUUUGGUUGCUUUUCAGAUGCUAAGAAGCCCAAGGCUGGAUAAGUUUAUUUUUUAUGGUACUUUGAUGACCAAAGCUAAGUUUUCUGACGGCGGAGUUGAGAGGCUUAGCAAUGAUUUGUCAAUUUUAUUCGGGGUGUUCGGAGGUGUCCGUGGCUGUAGACCUCCACUUUUUACUAUUCGAACCAAAAGAACAUCCCAACUGCUAUGGGACAAUAAUCAUGAACAAUCUCCUUCAGGUGAAUUGAUCCGAACAGAUUCGAAAGGUCGAUCUGGCAUUUCACAUUAUCUGUUCUUUUUCCUGUUGACGACUAUGGUGACCUUUCUCAACUCCUUAAAGAGCACUGACAGGCUGCUACAGAGCUGAAAUUGUGAUAACAAUGCCAAAUAAAUGAACUGUGCUUCCAGCCGUCCACAUCAUGAAACCCAUCAUCAUCAAACUCUUGAAAGGUCAUAGAUUCCAUCCUCGGGUAUCUCAAUAUAACUUGUGACCCUGCAACGUUUAUUCAGGUCAACACAAAUUCAUCGUCGUUGAAUUCUACGCUCCUUGGUGUGGUCACUGCAAGAAACUUUCUCCAGAAUUUGAGAAAGCGGCGCAGGUUUUAAGCCGGAAUGAUCCACCAAUUUUUCUGGCCAAAGUUGAUGCCAAUGAGGAAGCAAACAAGGUUCUUGCCAGAGAGUUCGAGAUAAGAGGUUUCCCCACAAUUAAGAUCUUGAGAUAUGGAGGUAGCGUUGUUCAAGAUUACAAAGGACCACGUGAGGCAGAUGGUAUUGUUCUUACUUGAAGAAACAAAGUGGUCCUGCUUCUGCUGAAAUUAAAUCUUCUGAGGAUGCAGAUGCUGUUAUCGAUGUCAGUAAGAUCAAUAUUGUUGGUGUCUUUCCUUAGUUCUCUGGGGGAAAAUUUGAGAAUUUUACAGCUCUGGCUGAGAAAUUGCAUGCUGACUAUGAUUUUGGUCAUACUUCGGAUGCUAAACUCCUUCCUCAUGGGGAUUCAUCAGUUUCUGGCCCCGUGGUUAGGUUAUUCAAGCCCUUUGAUGAGCUUUUCGUAGAUUUCCAGGAGUUCGAUGUGGAUGCCUUGGCAAAGUUAGUUGAAGAAGCAAUUAUUCCUACUGUGACUGUAUUUAACAAGGACCCCAACAACCAUCCAUUUGUUAUUAAAUUCUUCAACAAUGCAAAUGCCAAGUUAAAUGAAGUGAACAAGAGGAAGAGUUCUCGGUGAUGGCCCUAUCUAAAGCAGUUGUCCCCACAACUAUCAUACACUUGCGAAAAUUUGAAGGUAGUAUGUUUGCAGGGAUAUGUUAACGAUAAUCUCAACUUCUCUGAAAGGAGCUCAAAAAAAGAUGCAUUUGCUGCAAGUUUAUAAUAAUUUCUAGAAGUUCAAAUGUAUUUCAUAGUUGGAAUACACUUUCGUCAAAGAUCUCCCUUCGGAUUGGAGAUUUCAAAAUAGGAUAUAGUUUCACGUUUUAAAUUCACGUGAGAUAUGAGGUUAUGAGAAAAGGAAAAAUAUGAAAUCAUAUAAGUUUUUACUUGCCUCAAAUGUAUCAAUAGAUGCGCUUAUGCAAUUUUAGCAGUAAGUUCUAUCAAAGAUAUAUUUCUUUGUUUUGUUUUUA